This is a long non-coding RNA of Hippocampus zosterae (dwarf seahorse), 929 nucleotides long. RefSeq lists it as uncharacterized. The transcript is spliced from 2 exons. Lineage: Eukaryota; Metazoa; Chordata; Actinopteri; Syngnathiformes; Syngnathidae. The record is from RefSeq and is a predicted model, not a curated record.
CCAGAAAACGUGGGAUCUGAAAUGAAGGCGAGAUGGCCAUCGACAAAUUCCUGGUGUAAAGAACAAUAAUCAGCCAGUAUUGCUGCCUCUGGCACUAUCUGGCACAUCGGCCAAAUCAGGGGUGUGUCUGGCAGUGCAAUAUGGGAUCAGGUGACGUGGAAAAAAAAACACUCCCCUGCGAUCACACAAAGGUGCUUUGUCUUGGGCGGAAGUAAACUGCGUCUUAACACAGGUAAAAGCGAGGCAGCGUCAGCUGUCGGACAACUACAAACAUGAAACACAAACUAAUGUGCCACACACGGAAAUAAAGAGAUUUCUGACACUAGCAGCCGAAAUGAGUUUCCGCUGUGGGGUGUCCGGACUCUCUCUUGGAGAGAGGGUGAGAAGCUCGGUCCACCUGUGAGGGGCUCAGUGUCCAGCCGCUGCUCAUCUGCAUUGAUAGGAGCCAGAUGAUGUGGCUAGGGCAUCUGAUUAGGAUGCCUCAAUGGUUAGGUGUUGCGGGCACGCCCCGGGGACCACCCGGGACACACUGGCGAGACUCCUGGCUGAACUGGGAAUGCCUUAGGAUCCGCACAGAAGAGCUUGAUGAAGUGGUUGGGGAGAGGAAAGGUACUGCGCUCUCGACCAAACUCCAGAUAAGCAAAGAGGAUGGAUUAGUCAGUCAGUUGUUUUGUCAAUUAAGUCUGUAAUGUACUGCCCCCGAUGAACAAAGUGCACACACCCAAAGGAGCAGCAGAAUGCCGAUUAAAUUGAAGCAAUAAGUGUGACAAAAAUGGUUUGCAUCCCGACAUUCUAUUUAAUCAAUUCAUCACUGACCCAUGGAAAACUCAUCCAUGUGCAUGGAUCUGCAAAAACAACGGAAAAGGCUGUGAUAACCAUGUUGGGCAAAUAUUUGACCCUUGUAAAUAAAAAAAUAAAAAUUAAAAAAA